AAAGUACUCCCUCCGUCCCAAAAUUCUUGUCUUAGAUUUGUCUAGAUACACAUUUUAGUAUUAGAUACAUCUGUAUCUAGACAAAUCUAAGACAAGAAAUCUGGGAUAGAGGGAGUAGUUG
Non-coding RNA from Triticum aestivum (bread wheat), 121 nucleotides. Lineage: Eukaryota; Viridiplantae; Streptophyta; Magnoliopsida; Poales; Poaceae. The record is from Rfam.